AUGUGUAGCGGUGAAAUGCGUAGAUAUAUGGAGGAACACCAGUGGCGAAGGCGGCUCUCUGGUCUGUAACUGACGCUGAGGCUCGAAAGCGUGGGGAGCGAACAGGAUUAGAUACCCUGGUAGUCCACGCCGUAAACGAUGAGUGCUAAGUGUUGGAGGGUUUCCGCCCUUCAGUGCUGCAGCAAACGCAUUAAGCACUCCGCCUGGGGAGUACGACCGCAAGGUUGAAACUCAAAGGAAUUGACGGGGGCCCGCACAAGCGGUGGAGCAUGUGGUUUAAUUCGAAGCAACGCGAAGAACCUUACCAGGUCUUGACAUCCUUUGACCACUCUAGAGAUAGAGCUUCCCCUUCGGGGGCAAAGUGACAGGUGGUGCAUGGUUGUCGUCAGCUCGUGUCGUGAGAUGUUGGGUUAAGUCCCGCAACGAGCGCAACCCUUAUUGUUAGUUGCCAUCAUUUAGUUGGGCACUCUAGCGAGACUGCCGGUGACAAACCGGAGGAAGGUGGGGAUGACGUCAAAUCAUCAUGCCCCUUAUGACCUGGGCUACACACGUGCUACAAUGGGAAGUACAACGAGUUGCGAAGUCGCGAGGCUAAGCUAAUCUCUUAAAGCUUCUCUCAGUUCGGAUUGUAGGCUGCAACUCGCCUACAUGAAGCCGGAAUCGCUAGUAAUCGCGGAUCAGCACGCCGCGGUGAAUACGUUCCCGGGCCUUGUACACACCGCCCGUCACACCACGAGAGUUUGUAACACCCGAAGUCGGUGAGGUAACCUUUUGGAGCCAGCCGCC
Molecule: ribosomal RNA, 786 nt
Filed under: Enterococcus faecalis
Lineage: Bacteria; Bacillati; Bacillota; Bacilli; Lactobacillales; Enterococcaceae
Description: bacterial SSU rRNA
Rfam family: Bacterial small subunit ribosomal RNA
Source: RNAcentral